Molecule: ribosomal RNA, 1682 nt
Filed under: Paenibacillus sp. EKM206P
Lineage: Bacteria; Bacillati; Bacillota; Bacilli; Caryophanales; Paenibacillaceae
Description: partial 23S ribosomal RNA
Rfam family: Bacterial large subunit ribosomal RNA
Source: RNAcentral
UAGCUCACUGGUCGAGUGACUCUGCGCCGAAAAUGUAACGGGGCUAAACACACCACCGAAGCUAUGGCUUGAUGCUUGCAUCAGGGGUAGGGGAGCGUUGAAUGCGGGUUGAAGGUGUACCGUAAGGAGCGCUGGACUGCAUUCAAGUGAGAAUGCCGGUAUGAGUAACGAAAAGAUCUGUGAGAAUCAGAUCCGCCGAAAGCCUAAGGGUUCCUGAGGAAGGUUCGUCCGCUCAGGGUAAGUCGGGACCUAAGGCGAGGCCGAUAGGCGUAGUCGAAGGACAACAGGUCGAAAUUCCUGUACCACCGUAAUCCGUUAUGAGCGAUGGGGUGACGCAGUAGGGUAGUGACGCGGACUGAUGGAUGUCCGUCUAAGCAGUGAGGCUGAUGUGUAGGCAAAUCCGCACAUCGUAAGGCUGGGCUGUGAUGGGGAGCGAAAAUUGUAGUAGCGAAGGUCAUGAUCUCAGACUGCCAAGAAAAGCCUCUAGCCAGGAGAAGGUGCCCGUACCGCAAACCGACACAGGUAGGCGAGAAGAGAAUUCUAAGGCGCGCGGAAGAACUCUCGUUAAGGAACUCGGCAAAAUGACCCCGUAACUUCGGGAGAAGGGGUGCCUCGGUAGGGUGAAUAGCCCGAGGGGGCCGCAGUGAAAAGGCCCAAGCGACUGUUUAGCAAAAACACAGGUCUGUGCGAAGCCGCAAGGCGAAGUAUACGGGCUGACGCCUGCCCGGUGCUGGAAGGUUAAGGGGAGUGGUAAGCCCUUCGGGGCGAAGCUAUGAACCGAAGCCCCAGUAAACGGCGGCCGUAACUAUAACGGUCCUAAGGUAGCGAAAUUCCUUGUCAGGUAAAUUCUGACCCGCACGAAUGGCGUAACGACUUGGGCGCUGUCUCAACGAGAGAUCCGGUGAAAUUUUAAUACCUGUGAAGAUGCAGGUUACCCGCGACAAGACGGAAAGACCCCAUGGAGCUUUACUGCAGCUUGAUAUUGAAUUUGGGUACGAUCUGUACAGGAUAGGUGGGAGCCGUAGAACUUUGAGCGCCAGCUUGAAGGGAGGCAUCCUUGGGAUACCACCCUGAUCGUAUCUAGGUUCUAACUUGGUACCGUAAACCGGUGCGAGGACAGUGUCAGGUGGGCAGUUUGACUGGGGCGGUCGCCUCCUAAAGAGUAACGGAGGCGCCCCAAGGUUCCCUCAGAAUGGUUGGAAAUCAUUCGAAGAGUGCAAAGGCAGAAGGGAGCUUGACUGCGAGACCUACAAGUCGAGCAGGGACGAAAGUCGGGCUUAGUGAUCCGGUGGUACCGCAUGGAAGGGCCAUCGCUCAACGGAUAAAAGCUACCCUGGGGAUAACAGGCUUAUCUCCCCCAAGAGUCCACAUCGACGGGGAGGUUUGGCACCUCGAUGUCGGCUCAUCGCAUCCUGGGGCUGAAGUAGGUCCCAAGGGUUGGGCUGUUCGCCCAUUAAAGCGGUACGCGAGCUGGGUUCAGAACGUCGUGAGACAGUUCGGUCCCUAUCUGUCGUGGGCGUAGGAAAUUUGAGAGGAGCUGUCCUUAGUACGAGAGGACCGGGAUGGACGUACCGCUGGUGUACCAGUUGUUCCGCCAGGAGCACCGCUGGGUAGCUAUGUACGGAAGGGAUAAGCGCUGAAAGCAUCUAAGCGUGAAGCCCCCCUCAAGAUGAGAUUUCCCA